AUACGUAGGUGGCGAGCGUUGUCCGGAUUUACUGGGUGUAAAGGGUGCGUAGGCGGGAUUGCAAGUCAGGCGUGAAAUGCAUCGGCUUAACCGAUGAAUUGCGCUUGAAACUGCAGUUCUUGAGUGAAGUAGAGGCAGGCGGAAUUCCGAGUGUAGCGGUGAAAUGCGUAGAUAUUCGGAGGAACACCAGUGGCGAAGGCGGCCUGCUGGGCUUUUACUGACGCUGAGGCACGAAAGCAUGGGUAGCAAACAGGAUUAGAUACCCUGGUAGUCCAUGCCGUAAACGAUGAUUACUAGGUGUGGGGGGUCUGACCCCCUCCGUGCCGUAGUUAACACAAUAAGUAAUCCACCUGGGGAGUACGACCGCAAGGUUAAA
This 376-nucleotide ribosomal RNA is filed under the name uncultured bacterium. Its description in RNAcentral is "bacterial SSU rRNA". It matches the Rfam family "Bacterial small subunit ribosomal RNA", at positions 523 to 898 of the family's 1533-position model. The record is from RNAcentral.